CUCAGGAUAGCUGGAGUAUAUAUUUUUUAUAAAUGAUAAGUUAGAUUAGGUAAAGCGAAUGAUUAGAAGUAUGGGGAAAAAAAUUUUUCUUCACUUAUUCUCAAACUUUAAAUAGGUCUAUAUUAUAAGAAAUAAAAUUAAUUUUUAUUUUUUAUUGAAAAGAAGAAUUUUGAAAAACUCUUUGUGGGCCAUUCCUGGUAAGCAGGACUGGCGAUGUGGGAUGAACCAAACGUAAAGUUAAAGUGCCUAAAAAAUACGUUCAUCAGAUACCACAAAAGGUGUUGAUUCAUCUUGACAGUUGGACAGUGGCCAUGGAAGUCGGAAUCUGCUAAGGAGUGUGUAACAACUCACCAACCGAAUGAAUUAGCCCUGAAAAUGGAUGGCGCUUAAAACGUAUUACUUAUACUUUACCAUUAAGAUAAAUGCUAAAUCUUAAUGAGUAGGAGGGCGUAUGGAUAAUUUAGAAGACUGACAGUGAUGUUGGUUGGAAUUAUCUUUAGUGCAGAUCUUGGUGGUAGUAGACUAAAUAUUCAAUAGAGAACA
RNAcentral lists this ribosomal RNA (543 nucleotides) under uncultured eukaryote. RNAcentral's name for it is "partial 28S ribosomal RNA". It matches the Rfam family "Eukaryotic large subunit ribosomal RNA", at positions 972 to 1483 of the family's 3401-position model. The record is from RNAcentral.